RNAcentral lists this long non-coding RNA (912 nucleotides) under Felis catus (domestic cat). Its description in RNAcentral is "lncRNA (ENSFCAG00000049452.1)". Lineage: Eukaryota; Metazoa; Chordata; Mammalia; Carnivora; Felidae. The record is from RNAcentral.
CUGGGUUUAGUUAUUAAUGUACUGAAUUAUGUUUUUAUUCUAAUUGUUUCUUCUUUACUCUUCUAUGCUUAAGGGAUAUGCUCAUAUAAAUGACUGCAAGAUAAAUAAAGCUGACAAACACAAGUGACUGUAUCUUUUGGCAUUAAGAUAAUUAUAGAUCAUUACAUGGUAGGAAUAGUCAAUAGCCCCAAAGUAAUAUGAUUAAAUAAAGCACUUUAAAACUGUAAUUCACCUAGCCUUUUUAAUAUUUUACUAUUUCUUCUUUGUUGCUCCAAAGCUAUGAAUUUUAAGAUUUAUUUGUCACUACUCUCUAUAUUUUCUGCUGUACACACUAUUUGUGGGCUAUGGCAACCAAUCCCCUUGGGCUUGCUUUUGCUUUAAUUUGCAUAAACACAGGCAUCAUAUGAAUAUUCAGUGAGUGGCUUUGCAUUAAGUAAGUGCCCUUAAUCAGCUUUUCAGUUCAGUUUUAUUGGUUGCACGCACAGUCAGUUAUUUCAUCCAGAAAAUCUGAAGGCCCUACAAACUAACCAGACACUAUCUAAACACAGACGCGAAUCGGUACAGACACGAAUUGGUUCCCUGAGACGAGGUCUUCGGGAGACUUCUCACACAGCCACUAGAUGGCAUGAGAGCACUGCAUUGCGCCUGCUUGGCCACACUGCCGCUUGCAACAUUGAGGCGUUUAUUCUCCUGCUAAGAGCUCAAUGUUUAGUCAAGGCAAACUCUAGGAUUUCUUGAUAGACAAUACUUGAAAUAGACUAUGAAGUGCACACAACUGAAGGCGAACAAAUAAUGCACACUGAAAUGAGUGCACGUGUCUUCCAAAGACUACAAGCCUCCUUUUGACAUUCAACCGACUCAGUAAGGAGGGAAGAAGAAAUUGAAUUUAGCUGAUGCAAAUGAAAUUAAAAC